Molecule: RNA transcript, 3610 nt
Organism: Phyllopteryx taeniolatus (common seadragon)
Lineage: Eukaryota; Metazoa; Chordata; Actinopteri; Syngnathiformes; Syngnathidae
Gene: ttyh2
Gene name: tweety family member 2
Exons: 15
Source: RefSeq, a predicted model, not a curated record
UCCCGUGGGUCCCGUGUAAGCAUCACCGCGUGGUUACGAUGCGUCUUUCUACGUCGUGGACGCGCGCCGUGGAUCCAAACACACACGCACGCACGCACGGGAUACACUAGCAGCUCCCUCCUUCCAUCCUCGUGAUUCCUCGUCAUUCCCGAACAAGUGUGAGAUCCACGCGGAUCAGAACAUUCUACUGUGUGUGUUUUGGACUCGCGUGGAGGAGUGCGUGUCUCCACCAGCACCAGCACGUACGAAGCAUGUUUUCAUCCCCGCUCUUGUCUCACACGAGACAGGACUGAGGAGACGCUUUGAACUUUUUGUGUGUGGUUUAUUUCGGUUUAAUCUCCGUUCAAGCAGGGAUGUCAUCUUCACGCGUGGAUUACAUCGCGCCGUGGUGGAUUUACUGGCUUCACAGUUUCCCACACGUCAACCUGAGGCUGCAGCCCGUGGACAACAGCUUCAGACCCGACGACGAGAACUACCAGCAGUCUCUGCUUUUUCUGGGCUGCGUGGCGGCGACGGUGCUGGGCGUCAACCUGCUGUGUCUGGCCGUCUACCUGAGCUGCCUGUGCUGCCGCUGCAAGGAUGACGACGGCGGCGGCGAGGAGGACAGCAAGAAGCCGACAUCCUGCUGCGUCACCUGGUCGGCCGUCGUCGCAGGCCUCGUCACUUGCGUGGCCGUAGGCGUGGGUUUCUACGGCAACAGCGAGACCAACGACGGCGUGUACCAGCUGACGUACUCGCUGUACAACGCCAACAACACGCUGGGCGGCGUGGACAGCCUGCUGCAGGUGAGCACCACUAUGGGCAACAUGAAGAGUGGCCUGCACCAGCACCUGGCCCGGCUGGACGAGAUCUUCGCCACGCGCGGCGACUACGUGCAGACGCUGCAGUUCAUGCAGCAGAUGGUCGACAACGUCAUCAAGCAGCUGGUGGGCCUGCCGGACUGGGCCCAGGCCGACAUGGACCUGGCGUCCGUGGCCAAGAUGGCGGCCAGCGUGGAGUACUACAGGUGGCUGGCCUACCUGCUGCUCCUCAUCCUUGACCUCAUCAUCUGCCUGCUGGCUUGUCUGGGACUCGCCAAGCAGUCUCGCUGGCUGCUCACCACGAUGAUGCUGUGUGGGGUGCUGACGUUGAUACUCAGCUGGGCAUCGCUAGGAGCUGAACUGGCCGCCGCUGUGGGCACCAGCGACUUCUGCGUGGCGCCUGACAAGUUCAUCAUGAGUCAAAUCAAAGGUGUCAUCGGCACAGAUAUCGUUCAAUACUACGUUUACUGCAACCAAACGCUGACCAACCCUUACCAGCAGCCUCUGACGCUUUUCCAGAGAUCUCUGACCACCAUGCAGAUACAGAUCCAGGGUUUGCUGCAGUUCGCCGUGCCGCUAUUCCCUACAGCGGAGAGAGACCUGGUGGGCAUCCAGCGUGUUCUCAACUCGUCUGAGGCCAGUCUGCACCAGUUGACAGCACUGUUAGACUGCAGGGGGCUCAACAAGGACUACCUGGAUGCUAUGGUGGGCGUGUGUUACGACGGCGUGGAGGGCGUGCUCUACCUGUGCCUCUUCUCCGUUCUGGCGGCUUGUGCCUUCACUAUCAUGCUCUGCGCCAUCCCCAGAGCGUGGAGACAGAUAGCCAGCAGCGAGCAGGACUACGACGACAUAGACGAGGAGGAUCCCUUCAACCCUCGGCGCAACCGAAUGGGGUCGCAGAACCAGAACCACACCACUGUGCACAGCUUCUGCAGCUACAGCAGCAGCAUGGGCAGCCAGAACAGCCUGCAGCCCCCCGCACCUCCACUCGCCAACGCCCCCAUGGGCGACUACAUGAACCAGGCGGCUCUGUUCGGAGGGAAUCCUCGCUACGAGAACGUCCCUCUGAUUGGACGAGGCUCGCCGCCACCGUCGUGUAUGCUGACAUAUGGAGCAGAUGGGAAGUAACGCGGUUAAUAUUUCAUGGCGACGUGAACAUCGUUUAGCGACAAACUCCCCCGGGAGAUGACGACGAUGUGGGCAACGCACGUUUCGUUUCUUUAUUUAUUUAUAUUUCUUUUGGGACCUUCAAAGGACCCUGCUCGUUUGGACAGAAAUAGCAAUGCUGGUUCCAUUUUCAUAUCCAUCAUGUUUGUUUAAAGGAGAAAAAAGUAAAUUUUCCAUUUUCUUUCCUCUUUAAAUAAUGUGCUCUCUUGAUGCCGUUUUGCUUUGCUGCUUCUGUCAAUAAAGUUGAAUUAAUUUCUCUCCCCUGCUUCAAACUGUGCAGCUGUGUGUUUGUUGCUUUUUGGCUAACAGCUUUUUAAUUAAUUUUAUUUUAUUGCUCGUUUGUCCGUCAUGUCUCUUCUUCUUUUAUUUCAAUCAACUUUUGAAGAUAUACUCUCAGCCGUAUAGAAGCCGAUACUCCCCCAGCAUGAGGGCCACCUACCUGUCCAUGACCGAGGAGCAGCGUCAACAUUUCGGCAACGACUUCCAAGUGUAAUCUUUUGGAAAUUUUCUUCAGGGAAACACCACCAUUGUUGUGUGUUACGGACAUGAAAGUGAGCUGGGGACACGUUUGGCUUAUGAGACGUUACCCCUGGAGUUUGAAACGUGAGAAAAGACUUUCUUAAAAGUUCUAAAGAAACAAGUGUGCACAUUUCUGUCCUUGGUGACACUUUUACAGAAGCCAAGAGAGCUAAAAAAAUAUUUAAGAACAAGCAAGGAGAACAAAAAAGUACAUUUUUGACAAGAUUUUUCUGUGUUUUAUGCUCCACUGCUGUUAUUAUAGAGCAGGGGUGUCAAACUCAUUUUUGUCGCGGGCCACAUUGUAGUUAUGGCUUCCCUCGGAGGGCCGUUAUGACUGUGAACCCAUGUAAAAUAGUCUCAUUUAAUGACAUACACAACAAAUUGAUGGAUAACUAGUUUUAAAAUCAGAAGCCAAUAAAAAUGUUCAACUAUUAUUACAUUUAUUUAGAAAAGGGGAUUAGAAACAUAAAAUGCUUGCAAUAUCUCAACAUUAUACAAGUAAAGACACCAAUUUUGGUAUUUUCAGAAGAAACAUGAAGUCGACACAUGAUUUGCUUUCGCGAGCCACAUAAAAUGAUGUUGCAGGCCGGAUCUGGCCCCCAGGCCGCCAGUUUGACACCUGUGUUAUAGAGUAUGCGUGGAAAAUGAUGGCACUGUGGUAAAAUGUUUUUUUCCAUUUUUGGCUCACUUUUCUGUGCGCAAAUCUCCAGGUAUGACGUUGAAACACCUGUAAAUAAUUUGUACAACAACUUAUUUUUUGUAAUUAUUGUUUGUGCCAUUUUAAAAUAUAUUUUUUGGGUUUGUUUUUCUACUCACUGAAGAACCAUUAAUGUACAUUUUUCUGUGCAUAUCAACUAAUUGAAAACUGCCCUUAAGCCUGACACCAGAAGCUGUUGUGCUGCUGCUUUUAACCACCACAUUCAGGUAAACAGCUUCCUUUGAGCGUUGGCUAAUAAUAAUUAAUAUCAAAAGUAAUAAUGAUAAUAAUUCAUGCAGUUUUUAACCUUUGUUUCAGCAUGUCACACUGUGUACAGGCGCUGAGAGUGAUGCCUAAUUCUUUGUGGGGCCAAAAAGAUUUUGUGACCCUGUGUGUGUUGAAUAAAUACGUUUUUAGUAUGGCUGUA